AGAGUUUGAUCCUGGCUCAGAGCGAACGCUGGCGGCAGGCCUAACACAUGCAAGUCGAACGCCCGGGCAACCGGGAGUGGCAGACGGGUGAGUAACACGUGGGAACGUGCCCUUCGGUUCGGAAUAACUCGGGGAAACCCGAGCUAAUACCGGAUACGUCCGCAAGGAGAAAGAUUUAUCGCCGAAGGAUCGGCCCGCGU
This 200-nucleotide ribosomal RNA is filed under the name uncultured bacterium. RNAcentral describes it as "partial 16S ribosomal RNA". It matches the Rfam family "Bacterial small subunit ribosomal RNA", at positions 8 to 236 of the family's 1533-position model. The record is from RNAcentral.